Long non-coding RNA from Macrobrachium nipponense, 304 nucleotides. RefSeq lists it as uncharacterized. NCBI's taxonomy places the organism in Eukaryota, Metazoa, Arthropoda, Malacostraca, Decapoda, Palaemonidae. The record is from RefSeq and is a predicted model, not a curated record. The transcript has 3 exons.
GAUGACUGCACAGUACCCACUUCAUUAAGUGAAGUUCCUGGAGAAGUUAUGUGCAUGUUGUGUGUAUGUAUACAUCGUAGGCUAGUUAUCAGAAAUGAGGAGCAACUGUAAUUAUUCAUCAAUGUCAAGAUUGCUAUACAGUACACUUCAUUGAAUGGAGUUCCUGGAGAGGUGGUGAACAAUUCACCAUGUUAAGAUUGGAGUUCCCGGAGAGCUUGUGUACAUACUGCAGUAGGCUAGCUAGACAAAAUGAGGAGCCUCUAGGAGCAACUAUGAAAUGUAAAAUUAAAAUACUAGUAGCAGC